AACGAACGCUGGCGGCAUGCCUAACACAUGCAAGUCGAACGAUGCCUUCGGGCAUAGUGGCGCACGGGUGCGUAACGCGUGGGAAUCUGCCUUUCGGUUCGGAAUAACUCAGGGAAACUUGAGCUAAUACCGGAUAACGUCGCAAGACCAAAGAUUUAUCACCGAAAGAUGAGCCCGCGUAGGAUUAGCUAGUUGGUGAGGUAAAGGCUCACCAAGGCGACGAUCCUUAGCUGGUCUGAGAGGAUGAUCAGCCACACUGGGACUGAGACACGGCCCAGACUCCUACGGGAGGAAGCAGUGGGGAAUAUUGGACAAUGGGCGAAAGCCUGAUCCAGAAAUGCCGCGUGAGUGAUGAAGGCCUUAGGGUUGUAAAGCUCUUUUACCCGGGAAGAUAAUGACGGUACCGGGAGAAUAAGCCCCGGCUAACUCCGUG
RNAcentral lists this ribosomal RNA (433 nucleotides) under uncultured bacterium. RNAcentral's name for it is "partial 16S ribosomal RNA". It matches the Rfam family "Bacterial small subunit ribosomal RNA", at positions 29 to 507 of the family's 1533-position model. The record is from RNAcentral.